Molecule: ribosomal RNA, 541 nt
Filed under: uncultured bacterium
Lineage: Bacteria
Description: bacterial SSU rRNA
Rfam family: Bacterial small subunit ribosomal RNA
Source: RNAcentral
AAUAGAUACCCUGGUAGUCCACGCCGUAAACGUUGGGAACUAGAUGUAGGGACCAUUCCACGGUUUCUGUGUCGCAGCUAACGCAUUAAGUUCCCCGCCUGGGGAGUACGGCCGCAAGGCUAAAACUCAAAGGAAUUGACGGGGGCCCGCACAAGCGGCGGAGCAUGCGGAUUAAUUCGAUGCAACGCGAAGAACCUUACCAAGGCUUGACAUAUACCGGAAACGGCUGGAAACAGUCGCCCCGCAAGGUCGGUAUACAGGUGGUGCAUGGUUGUCGUCAGCUCGUGUCGUGAGAUGUUGGGUUAAGUCCCGCAACGAGCGCAACCCUCGUUCUAUGUUGCCAGCACGUCAUGGUGGGAACUCAUAGGAGACCGCCGGGGUCAACUCGGAGGAAGGUGGGGAUGACGUCAAAUCAUCAUGCCCCUUAUGUCUUGGGCUUCACGCAUGCUACAAUGGCCGAUACAAAGGGCUGCAAUACCGCAAGGUGGAGCGAAUCCCAAAAAGUCGGUCUCAGUUCGGAUUGAGGUCUGCAACUCGACCU